This 77-nucleotide transfer RNA is filed under the name Cordylochernes scorpioides. RNAcentral's name for it is "tRNA-OTHER". Lineage: Eukaryota; Metazoa; Arthropoda; Arachnida; Pseudoscorpiones; Chernetidae. The record is from RNAcentral.
AGUGUCAAGGGAUGGGAAUCGAACCCAAGACCUUCCGCUUACCCGGGCAGAUGCCAUGACCACUAGGCCACAUGACC